GGUUCUGCCAUCACAGGACCUAUUGGGAAGGAAUGUGCUGAUCUGUGGCCCAGGAUUGCCAGUGCAGCCAAUGCUAUUGUGUAGCGCUGAGGCUAGCUAUAUUAAUUAUGUAGUUCUUUGGCUUGAUUGUUAUGAAAAGAAUUUAAGUUGGCCGUCCCGACUGCUCCUAGAGGGAAUUUCUUUUACUACCGUUGCUUUGACCAAGGGACGGCUUGUCUUAACUGAGACUCUGCGUUCUGUGUUCCCAUCGGAAUCGCCCGUUAUAGAUAAGUUGGCAUUACAGGAUAAUGGGCUUGUGAUUGGGUGAAUGAUAUGUUUGUUGAUCCUCUAACAAGUAAUCUCCGAUUCAUUCCAGGAUAAUGGGCUUGUGUUUGGUUGAAUGAUAUGUUUGUUGAUCCUCUAACAAAUUAUCCCCGAUUCUGAUUACAUGAAUGAUAUGUUUUGAGUUGCUUUUAAAUGGAUGGAAUGCAAGUGCCCUAAUUUUUAUAUUCUCGCAAAA
This 499-nucleotide long non-coding RNA is filed under the name Phoenix dactylifera (date palm). RNAcentral describes it as "long non-coding RNA (PDAC_LNC002815)". Lineage: Eukaryota; Viridiplantae; Streptophyta; Magnoliopsida; Arecales; Arecaceae. The record is from RNAcentral.